UACGUAGGGUGCAAGCGUUGUCCGGAAUUAUUGGGCGUAAAGAGCUUGUAGGCGGUUUGUCGCGUCUGCUGUGAAAUUUCGGGGCUCAACCCCGAACUUGCAGUGGGUACGGGCAGACUAGAGUGUGGUAGGGGAGACUGGAAUUCCUGGUGUAGCGGUGAAAUGCGCAGAUAUCGUUUGGAACGCCAAAGGUGAAAACAGACAGCUGGGAGUGUGCUGACGCUGAGACACGAAAGCCAGGGGAGCGAACGGG
This 253-nucleotide ribosomal RNA is filed under the name uncultured bacterium. RNAcentral's name for it is "partial 16S ribosomal RNA". It matches the Rfam family "Bacterial small subunit ribosomal RNA", at positions 524 to 776 of the family's 1533-position model. The record is from RNAcentral.